Molecule: ribosomal RNA, 1410 nt
Filed under: Apoplotrechus strigipennis
Lineage: Eukaryota; Metazoa; Arthropoda; Insecta; Coleoptera; Carabidae
Description: SSU rRNA
Rfam family: Eukaryotic small subunit ribosomal RNA
Source: RNAcentral
GCCAUGCAUGUCUCAGUACAAGCCAAAUUAAGGUGAAACCGCGAAAGGCUCAUUAAAUCAGUUAUGGUUCAUUAGAUCGUACCCACAUUUACUUGGAUAACUGUGGUAAUUCUAGAGCUAAUACAUGCAAACAGAGCUCUGACCGGAGACGGAAGGAGUGCUUUUAUUAGAUCAAAACCAAUCGGUGGCAGUUUAGUUUCGGCUAUACUGUUUAUCGCAUUAUUUGGUGACUCUGAAUAACUUUUGGCUGAUCGCACGGUCUCGCACCGGCGACGCAUCUUUCAAAUGUCUGCCUUAUCAACUGUCGAUGGUAGGAUCUGCGCCUACCAUGGUUGUAACGGGUAACGGGGAAUCAGGGUUCGAUUCCGGAGAGGGAGCCUGAGAAACGGCUACCACAUCCAAGGAAGGCAGCAGGCGCGCAAAUUACCCACUCCCGGCACGGGGAGGUAGUGACGAAAAAUAACGAUACAGGACUCAUCCGAGGCCCUGUAAUCGGAAUGAGAACACUUUAAAUCCUUUAACAAGGACCUAUUAGAGGGCCAGUCUGGUGCCAGCAGCCGCGGUAAUUCCAGCUCUAAUAGCGUAUAUUAAAGUUGUUGCGGUUAAAAAGCUCGUAGUUGAAUUUGUGUUCCACGCUGUCGGUUCACCGCCCGCGGUGUUUAACUGGCAUGUCUCGUGGAACGUCCUGCCGGUGGACGUUUUGGUCUUUGUUAAUUUCCCACUUUAUUAUUCAUAAAUAUUUACCUUUAGGUAUAAUAUUUAUGGUGUGAAGGUUUGGUGGAUUACAUUGUAACCAGCGUCCGCAAUUUAAAUAUUUCCCUGUUGCGGUGCUCUUAAUUGAGUGUCAUGACGGGCCGGCACGUUUACUUUGAACAAAUUAAAGUGCUUAAAGCAGGCUAAAAUUUUGCCUGAAUACUAGUGCAUGGAAUAAUGGAAUAGGACCUCAGUUCCAUUUUGUUGGUUUUUUUGGGAACCCUGAGGUAAUGAUUAAUAGGAACAGAUGGGGGCAUUCGUAUUGCGACGUUAGAGGUGAAAUUCUUGGAUCGUCGCAAGACGAACAGUUGCGAAAGCAUUUGCCAAAAAUGUUUUCAUUAAUCAAGAACGAAAGUCAGAGGUUCGAAGGCGAUCAGAUACCGCCCUAGUUCUGACCAUAAACGAUGCCAGCUAGCGAUCCGCCGACGUUCCUCCGAUGACUCGGCGGGCAGCUUCCGGGAAACCAAAGCUUUUGGGUUCCGGGGGAAGUAUGGUUGCAAAGCUGAAACUUAAAGGAAUUGACGGAAGGGCACCACCAGGAGUGGAGCCUGCGGCUUAAUUUGACUCAACACGGGAAAGCUCACCAGGCCCGGACACUCGAAGGAUUGACAGAUUGAGAGCUCUUUCUUGAUUGAGUGGGCGGUGGUGCAUGGCCGU